AUCUAACCAACCCCCUCACCUUUGAGCUUGCAAAUUCUUACAUUUUCCUGAAGCAACCUCAUUAUUACAAAAGAUCUCAAGUGUAGGAAAGCAUUUUUUUUUUUCUAUUUUAAACAUCUCUCUUUUAGUCUCUGAUGCCAGGAACUUCUUGGUUCCUAAGAGGAUCCCAUAUGUGGAAUCAAUCUCUAGGACAUGCCAACAAGGUUCUGACUUAAAGCAAAUACUCAUCUCCUUUUCCAAGAUGGAGUACUCUAAAACAAAGGGACACUUUCUUGGAGGUUCAAGUCAACGUUCCUAUGUGUCUAUCUGACAUCCCUAAACAUGACAUGCAUGAAGAUCUUCCACAGUUUUCUCUUAAUUUUAGUUCAUGCGCUGUUUUCAGCUGUGAGAAAACAUCCCAGCCCUACCUUUCCGAACCACCCUCCAGCAGUAUGUGCGGAGAUCACCACUCCAUGUUGGUAGCACCUUCCACCUGAAAUGUUUUGGUCUAAAGCAGUUCAGACAGCACAGCUGUCAACUCAGGAGUCUCAUUAAACAUACUUCAAAAAUUCCGGAGUUCCCGUCGUGGCGCAGUGGUUAACGAAUCUGACUAGGAACCAUGAGGUUGCCGGUUCGGUCCCUGCCCUUGCUCAGUGGGUUAACGAUCCGGCGUUGCCGUGAGCUGUGGUGUAGGUCGCAGAUGCGGCUCGGAUCCCGCGUUGCUGUGGCUCUGGCGUAGGCUGGUGGCUACAGCUCCGAUUCGACCCCUAGCCUGGGAACCUCCAUAUGCUACAGGAGCGGCUGUCAAGUAAUUGUGAGAGAGAAGAGAAUGCAUUUGCAAUUUUUAAGUGCAUUUAAUGCCCAGUGAUUUCAUCACCUACCCUACAUUUAAAACUGGGAGCCAAUCCAGAAACCGAAGACAAUCAGAUAUUUGCAAAAAUAUGUUUACACUACACUAUCCAACAUUUGUACUGACAACAUUCCUGUAGAUGCUUCAACAUAUGCUGAUUUUAAAGAGUAGGUUUUGGAGUCGGGCUUCUAAUUUAUCACAUUUUAAUUAAGAAGUUAUUACCAGCCAAGUUACCAAAAGACUUAAUUUUCAAAAGGGUAAAUAACCCUUAAGGUGCUUUUUCCUCGGCAGUGAAAAUUACAAAUAAUGGCAUUACAACAUUGCUCUCACCAUUUAUCAUCUUACAAAAUGUAACGAAAAAUAUCUAAACUCACUGUAUUUUUAAGAAAAUAAAAGUAAUCCCCAUCAGAUACUUUCUAUAUUUUUUUAUGAACCACAGCGAGGAGACUGGAAGCAAAACACAAAAAUUCAUCCAGUCUGUUUCUUUAAGUUAUCUGAAUGGCCAUCUUCCUUCAUUAUGAGUCACUGCUUAUUCUCUUCUUUUACAAAAGUUGCUUUGCAGCAGGACAAUGUAUUUCAUUUGUAUUUUUUUCAAAACAUAUUAAGAAAUAACUAGUUGCUGAUUAAUCUAUUUUUAUUAAAGUAUAGUUGAUUUACAAUAUUGUGCCAAUUUCCGCUGUACAGCAAAAUGACUCAGUCAAACAUAUAAAUAUACAUUCUUUUUUAUAAAUAUUAUUUUCCAUCAUGGUCUAUCCUAGGAGACUGGCUAUAGUUUCCUGUGCUACACAAUAGGACCUUAUUAUCUAUCCACUCUACAUGUAAUAGUUUGUUGGAGUUCUCGUCCUGGCUCAGUGGUUAACGAAUCCAACUAGGAACCAUGAGGUUGCAGGUUCGAUCCCCGGCCUUGCUCAGUGGGUUAAGGAUCCAGUGUUGCCAUGAGCUGUCGUGUGAGGUCGCAGACGUGGCUCGGAUCCCACAUUGCUGUGGCUGUGGCGUAGGCCAGUGGCUACAGCUCCGAUUAGACCCCUAGCCUGCGAACUUCCAUAUGCCGCAGGAGUGGCCCUAGAAAAAAGGCAAAAAGAUAAAUGUGAUAGUUUGCAUCUAUAACCCCAAACUCCCAGUCCAUCCCACUCCCUCCCAGCUCCCCCUUGGCAACCACAACUCUGUUCUCCAUGGCUAAGAGUUAGAAACAACUAGCUCUUGAUUUGAGUCUCCAUUUAUUUAAGUUUCACAUCCUACUUACAUUAACUGACAUCCCUAAAUGUCUACUCUACAUGUAUGAAGCCCUGAAAUUAGCCUUAAAUCAUAAAUAAUUAGGUCCUAAAACCCCAAUUUUCAUUUCCGGUUUCACUGAAUUCUUCCAAUCACUUUUUUGUCUGCAGCCCUCCUCCUAUGAGGACCUUUACCAUAAGUUUCUUUACCAUUUUUUUUUUUCUGCCAACAGUUUAACAUGUUCUGUUUUCUGGCUUUGUCAUUUCCUCUCUGCCAUUUGAUAGGACCUCAGAUCCCUUAAUAUAAAGGAGUCACAAACGUAACUUCUGAGCCUGUUGUAUGCUACACUUUGAGUCACUUAUUUCUAUCUUAUUCAACAAGAACCUUUGGAAAACACUAAAACCCUAGUUUUACAGAAAAAGAAACUGAGACUCAAUGUGGUUAAAUAACUUAUACAUAAUCAGUCGAAUUCAAAGUCAAGUUCACUCUUCCUCCUGUAUGUAAUAUGCUGCUUCUCAUUGUUCACUGACAUUUACCUGUGCGAAUCAGAGUUUGUCAUUCAGGAUGCAGAAUUAUGCCCAAAAGAAUAAAGUCAAAGUAUCCCAGAAAGAGCCUACUCACUGGCCUUUUUGUAAUGUGAAGAAAUUAUAUCUACUAGAAUUAGAUUCCGAUGCAUAUGACAAACCCAAAAUAACACUGACUUAAAUGAGAUAGAAGUUUAAUUCUCUCUCUUGGACAACAAGUCAAGGUGAAUGAUCUAGAUUUCGUAUGGCAAUUCCACAAAGUCAAGUGCUCAUACUCCUUUUGGUUAACUACUCCAUACUCUCCAGGGUGUGAGUCUUGUCCUCACGAUCCAAAAUAGCCAUCAGAGCUCCGGCCAUCAAAUCUGUAUUCCAGGAACCAGGAUGAAGGAAUCAGGGAAAGAAAUACAUUGUCCAUCCUUUUUAAGGACACAUCUCAAAGUAACACUAGGUACUUUAACAUUUUCCCAAUAAAGAGAACUUAGUCACAUGUACUCUCUUGGCUAUAAAGGAAACUGAGGAAAUGUAUGUUUUUUUGACUGGAUAGUAAGGCAUUGAGUUGAAAACCAGAGUUUUAUUAUUACUAAAUCAAGUUAAGAAAGGAUAUUUGGAGGCAACUAGAUGAACCUGCCGCAAAAUUUGCAUAUAAUCUGAUUUAUUCAUAAAAAUCAAAAUUUUCAAGCAGAUCAGAGAUAAUUGAGACUGACAAGCCCAAUGUUAUCUUUCAGGUAAAAUAUAUCACCCCACUGAUUUCAUCUCAUUAUAGGCAGUCAAACGAAUAAGUGUGAUUUUACAUUUUUGGAACUUAUUUUCAACAUUUACUAGGUCUAUCAGACAAAAUCAAGGGAGAUUUGUUUUAUAAAUGGUGGUCUUUUUCCAGUGUUAAAAUACAGGGUACUGGAUUAGAAGCAAACUCUACCAAGGGGGAUGUGCCACAGACUUUAAAUGGUCACUUAACUUCUAAAACUCUUCUAAUAUCCAGAGGUCACUAACAAAUAACCAAAUAGAGAACACAGGGAAAAAAAAACACUUUCGCAAAUGUUGAAAGGUGCUCUAGUAAUUAAACCUACUCCCCAGGUUAACAAACUACUUAUAUAGUCUACAACUAUUCUCAUAUAUGCUAUACUUAUAUUAGUAUUUAAAAACUUGCAACUUGAACGUAAGAAGGCUUUUUUCUUGGUCCCUGAUGUCACCUACACGACAGUCUUUUCUACUAGAAGUCAGACUUUUAUGACAAGACAUUUGAGAAAAACACAAACAUCAUCUCAGAAACAAAAACCAAAAAAAAAUUUCUCACAAGUUUUGGAGAAAAGAGGAUGGAGGCAUUGCAUACAUAACAAAGCAAAUGUCCUUGACAAUUCUCUUUAAAUAUUUUCCCCCAACGUCUCAGUCCUGUGCUCAUGUCUCCUCUCUCUCAAACACCUUCCCAACUUCCCAAAAUCAUUUCCCAUAGCCCAUCUGAUUGCAAUCAGCUAGACAAAGCUAGACCAACAGUCCUCAGCAAAAUAAAACCAAGUCAUGUGGCAUCCCUUGUUCUGCCAUCUCGGCACUCCCAACACAUACGUGCACCCACACAUGCAUGUGCACACAUGCAUACACACACAUUCAUACACACACACAACCAUACAUAUACAAAACCUUUCCAUGUCUUCCAUGGUAACAUGACGUCAUUUCUCCUAAUUCAAUCCAUAAUCAAGAUAG
RNAcentral lists this long non-coding RNA (4263 nucleotides) under Sus scrofa (pig). RNAcentral describes it as "lncRNA (ENSSSCG00025034996.1)". The record is from RNAcentral. Lineage: Eukaryota; Metazoa; Chordata; Mammalia; Artiodactyla; Suidae.